AAAUUGAAGAGUUUGAUCAUGGCUCAGAUUGAACGCUGGCGGCAGGCCUAACACAUGCAAGUCGAACGGUAGCACAGAGAGCUUGCUCUCGGGUGACGAGUGGCGGACGGGUGAGUAAUGUCUGGGAAACUGCCUGAUGGAGGGGGAUAACUACUGGAAACGGUGGCUAAUACCGCAUAACGUCGCAAGACCAAAGAGGGGGACCUUCGGGCCUCUUGCCAUCAGAUGUGCCCAGAUGGGAUUAGCUU
RNAcentral lists this ribosomal RNA (248 nucleotides) under Salmonella enterica subsp. enterica serovar Infantis. RNAcentral describes it as "partial 16S ribosomal RNA". It matches the Rfam family "Bacterial small subunit ribosomal RNA", at positions 1 to 247 of the family's 1533-position model. RNAcentral also lists the same sequence under 2 other names. Lineage: Bacteria; Pseudomonadati; Pseudomonadota; Gammaproteobacteria; Enterobacterales; Enterobacteriaceae. The record is from RNAcentral.